This is a long non-coding RNA of Homo sapiens (human), 3218 nucleotides long. Ensembl annotates it as long intergenic non-protein coding RNA 2822. The record is from Ensembl. Lineage: Eukaryota; Metazoa; Chordata; Mammalia; Primates; Hominidae.
GGGGGAUGGGGAAGAGAUGGCAUUGGUGAUUCAAGACUCUUUGCUAUCCUCUUCAAUGCCUCUUUCAGUGUAGGAAGUUAAAAUCAGUUAUGUAAUGGAAUUGAAUGAAGCAAGUGUCAGAUCUACAUCUCUACAAACACUCACUUUAUCAGUUCAGAGAAUAAAGAGAUGAAUUUAAUAAUGCCACUGGACACUUAUACUCUAUCGGAUCCUAAUAAUUUCUCACACUAAUGAAUUCUUCUAUCAACUUCAUGUUAAUCAAGAGGAGACAGAGCCAAGAAGUGAGUAAUUGCUUACUGAAUUGUGAAAGCUGGGAUGAUUUAACUACAGCCUCCCUAGAAUGUGACAGUCCACAGAAAUAUCUGAUUUCAAAGAGAUGCUUGCAUUCUGUACUGAUGCCAUCUAGAAUUGUAAAUGACCAGUGUCACACUGCUAAGUGGAGAAAGCGUGAAAGAAGAAUCCCAUCAGUACAUUCACGAUAGAGGAAAUAAGAAACAAUGAAAGCCACAAGUUUACUCGAAGGCAGCAAAAUUGGCCCUACUCCCAACCCUGCAACAUGCACCAUUUCCAUAAACAAUCUACAGAGAUGGCUGAGAAAAAGAAAAAGGGGUACUCUCCUUUACCCCUUCUCCAAAGCCCGAUGAAGUAAAGAGUAGAAAUCAAGAGUGUCUACAAGAAUUGGGGAUUGGCAUUGAUUCUCCACUGUGUGAUUACUCAUGCUUUAUGGCAAUGUGCCUAUUUAAAGGGCAGGUAAUGACUUAGCAAGAAGGAAGGAGAGAGAAUGUCAAACUCACCUGAAGUCUUACCAAUUGGUGUGGCAGGUAUGUGGCUGUUUCCCAUGAGUGAAUACACUAUAAGAUUAUUAGGCUCUAGCUGUUUUGCUUGUAUCUAAUCCAGGUGACACCAGCAUUUAGAGACUAUGAGGUGUACUGGGAGCUGAGAUAAUGAAAGAGGUAGCAUUAAAGUAAUAUCCCCCAAAUUAUGGCAGAUCUAUGGUUAGAAGCCUAAGAAUAACAUGUGAAAACCUCAUGUCAGAGCCUGACAAUAUACCAGAAUUUGGAUACCUGCCAUACAGAAGGUACCAGCCGCCAAGGGGUAACUGUCAGAAAAGUGACAACAAUCACAAGUUGGGAAAAGGACUUGUCUCUUUGCCCCUCACUCCUCUCUGUGCCCAAUAAUUUGGAUGAGCUAUUGCCUACAGAAUGAAAGGAGAGUUGUAGGGCUAUGAAUCAAAUAUGAGACAAGUUUUAAAUGAGAAGAAAGUAACAUUUAAUAAGCAAAAAUGCCCAGAGAACUAUGGAAUCAUCCCAAGAAAGGAUUAAUAAACAAAAAUUGGAUUCAAUAGAAAACACAUCAGAGAAAAAAGUUAAUAUUUUUAUACCAUAGAUGUGAGAGUCCUUAAUGCACUAGUUACAGCAUAUUAGUGCAUUAUGUACAUUCCAUGUGACUCUCUUAUUACCACUAUACCCACAAUGCUUAGAACUGGGUCCUCAAUAAUCGAGUAUGGGUGGCUAAAGGACUUUUCAUUUUAUGUGGCAGAGGAUAAUAAUAAAAAAAGAAAUAAUAGAGGAAGAAACUGGCUUUGGUGUUCUAGACAUAUUAGGGCUGAAACCCAAAUAUUCAGUUACCUGUUUUGCUUGGCCUACAUCCAUUUUCAGCAGUGCACUCAAAGUCUCCAAAGAAAUUUGCAGAGAAUUUCUUCCAGUAGCCCCAAGAGUUCUCAGCAUAAGUACUGGAAAAACUCACUAGCAUGGAGGAUGCUUCUCUCCAGUGGAAUCAACAGUGGCCUCUGCUGAUUCAGAGACUUCAGUGUUCCACAGUGAAACUAGAUUGUGAUGAGAGCAAAUAUGGCUGGAAGGCAACACUGCUCAGGUGGUUAGAGCGUGAGUUCUGUAGUAUCAAGGAGCUUUUUUCUCAGUGUGUCUGUCAGUGGAGAAUUUGGGGGAAAGAUCAAAUCAAAUUGCUAAAUAAAACAUAAAGCCCCACAGAGAUGGAAGCCAGCAAUAUGUGUAUGCUGUGGUUUGGGUGCCCCCUUUACCUUCCAGAAUGUCUUUGAACUGCAUGUUGAGCUGGUUUCACCUGGGUGAAAACAUGAGGGAAAAGGAAGUAAGGGAAGGAUGGACAGAUAGUGGUAGAGACUGAUGACCACUUCAAGUAAGUGUGCUAUCAGGAGAAUAACUCUCCCAUGUCUUCAUAGGAGUCAGUGAACAGUCACCUGUUGUAUAGAAUCACCCAUGGGCAGUCACUGGUUACCAGCAGCAGCACCAACCAACCACCUGAGAAUUACACCAAUGGUCAGUUAGGCAAAGAGACAUCUGCCUCCCUCUCCUCUUCCCCAACACUUAGAUUUUACUUAUCACUGAUUCUUGCAUAGAAAUGGUUCUGACUGGUGAAAACAAAGAGAAAAAUAUGUUGAAGGAAGUACCUAUGAACCUAAUUAUUAUUUUACUCAUUUUUUUCUCCAAAGUCUAUUGAUAAAUAAUGUUUUCAGUGUCAACUUUGACUUUAUUUUCAAUAUACAAAGUCAAACUAAAAACUUUCGUAUUUCAGGUUGAAAUUUAUAGUGUAACUCUUUACUUUUAAUGGCUUCCAGUUGUUCUAUUUUGGUUUCUGGCAGAAAUCCUUUUGGUAUGUUACAUAGAAAUAUAGAUAGAUAAAGGAAAGCCAAUUAUCUUUUCUUUACAGAGAAAUAUCCUGAAUGCUGUAAGUUGAGGGGAAUGGCAGGGUAUGUACUGGUAUGACUGGCCAAUACAGAAUCUAGUCUAGCUGAGAUAUGGCUUUUAGUAGGAAGCCUCAUAGGGAACAUGAUGGAGGAAAAUCCUUUCAUUUAUGGUAUCAAGAGAUUUUCAUUUUAAUCCCAGCUAUAUUUUACAUCAAUGUUGUCAUGCAUUCUAUCUUCUCUGGGCUUGAGAUAUACAAGAUGAGGAUGCUGAUUUAGCAGAAGUUCAAGCAUCCUUUCCAAGGUGAACAUCUAUGACCACUCAGUGUUGAGAAUUACUUCAGACUAUUAUUAACACUAUUAUUAACCAAAGGAAGGACCCCCCUGAUUACUGAUCAGUUCUCCAGUCCAUUGGGAAAUCCUUCUAAAGGCCAUUUCAUUUCAGACUGAAAUGUACAAAUGUAUAAAGAGUGGAAAAGACAUCAAAACUAAAAAUACUAUGUUAAACUUUGUUCCAUAUAGGACAAUACAUCAAAGAUUAAAGUUAGGUUGAAAGCAA